RNAcentral lists this ribosomal RNA (314 nucleotides) under uncultured bacterium. Its description in RNAcentral is "bacterial SSU rRNA". It matches the Rfam family "Bacterial small subunit ribosomal RNA", at positions 28 to 334 of the family's 1533-position model. The record is from RNAcentral.
GAUGAACGCUGGCGGCGUGCCUAACACAUGCAAGUCGAACGAAGCACUUGAAGUUUUCGGAUGGAGAGUGACUGAGUGGCGGACGGGUGAGUAACGCGUGGAUAACCUGCCUCAUACAGGGGGAUAACAGUUAGAAAUGACUGCUAAUACCGCAUAAGCGCACAGUACCGCAUGGUACGGUGUGAAAAACUCCGGUGGUAUGAGAUGGAUCCGCGUCUGAUUAGCUAGUUGGCGGGGUAACGGCCCACCAAGGCGACGAUCAGUAGCCGACCUGAGAGGGUGACCGGCCACAUUGGGACUGAGACACGGCCCAA